This 505-nucleotide ribosomal RNA is filed under the name uncultured bacterium. RNAcentral describes it as "partial 16S ribosomal RNA". It matches the Rfam family "Bacterial small subunit ribosomal RNA", at positions 28 to 507 of the family's 1533-position model. The record is from RNAcentral.
GACGAACGCUGGCGGCGUGCCUAAUACAUGCAAGUAGAACGCACAGUUUAUACCGUAGCUUGCUACACCAUAGACUGUGAGUUGCGAACGGGUGAGUAACGCGUAGGUAACCUGCCUGGUAGCGGGGGAUAACUAUUGGAAACGAUAGCUAAUACCGCAUAAUAUUGAUUAUUGCAUGAUAAUUAAUUGAAAGGUGCAAUUGCACCACUACCAGAUGGACCUGCGUUGUAUUAGCUAGUAGGGGAGGUAACGGCUCAACUAGGCGACGAUACAUAGCAGACCUGAAAGGGGGGGCGGCGAAACUGGGACGGGGACACGGCCCAGACUCCUACGGGAGGCAGCAGUAGGGAAUCUUCGGCAAUGGAAGAAAGUCUGACCGAGCAACGCCGCGUGAGUGCAUAAGGUUUUCGGAUCGUAAAGAUCUGUUGUAAGAGAAGAACGGGUGUUAGAGUGGAAAGUUCACACUGUGACGGUAUCUUACCAGAAAGCGACGGCUAACUACGUG